RNAcentral lists this ribosomal RNA (493 nucleotides) under uncultured bacterium. Its description in RNAcentral is "bacterial SSU rRNA". It matches the Rfam family "Bacterial small subunit ribosomal RNA", at positions 62 to 543 of the family's 1533-position model. The record is from RNAcentral.
UCGAGCGAGACCAGUCCUUCGGGACUGGGGAAAGCGGCGAACGGGUGAGUAACACGUGGGUAAUCUGCCCUCGGCACUGGGAUAGCCCGGGGAAACCCGGAUUAAUACCGGAUAGCCUUUCGAGUCUUCGGACUCGUCAGAAAAGGUGGCUUCGGCUACUGGCUGAGGAGGAGCCCGCGGCGGAUUAGCUUGUUGGUGAGGUAACGGCCCACCAAGGCGACGAUCCGUAGCUGGUCUGAGAGGACGAUCAGCCACACUGGGACUGAGACACGGCCCAGACUCCUACGGGAGGCAGCAGUGGGGAAUCUUGCGCAAUGGGCGAAAGCCUGACGCAGCGACGCCGCGUGCGGGAAGAAGGCCUUCGGGUUGUAAACCGCUUUCAGGAGGGACGAAGCCACUCGGGUUAAUACCCCAGAGGGUGACGGUACCUCCAGAAGAAGCCCCGGCUAACUACGUGCCAGCAGCCGCGGUAAUACGUAGGGGGCAAGCGUUG